GACGAACGCUGGCGGCGUGCCUAAUACAUGCAAGUCGAACGCAGUGGGGACGGGUGAGUAACACGUGGGUAACCUCCCAUCAGAGGGGAUAAAAAUGGGCAACAGGUGCUAAACCGAUACUGAUGGAUGGACCCGCGGUGCAUUAGCGAGAUGUGGAGGUAACGGCUCACCAAGGCCACGAUGCAUCGCCGACCUGAGAGGGUGAUCGGCCACACUGGGACUGAGACACGGCCCAUACUCCUACGGGAGGCAGCAGUAGGGAAUCUUCGGCAAUGGACGAAAGUCUGACCGAGCAACGCCGCGUGAGUGAAGAAGGUUUUCGGAUCGUAAAACUCUGUUGUUAGAGAAGCGGUAUCUAACCAGAAAGCCACGGCUAACUACGUGCCAGCAGCCGCGGUAAUUC
RNAcentral lists this ribosomal RNA (403 nucleotides) under uncultured bacterium. RNAcentral's name for it is "partial 16S ribosomal RNA". It matches the Rfam family "Bacterial small subunit ribosomal RNA", at positions 28 to 526 of the family's 1533-position model. The record is from RNAcentral.